Molecule: ribosomal RNA, 499 nt
Filed under: uncultured bacterium
Lineage: Bacteria
Description: partial 16S ribosomal RNA
Rfam family: Bacterial small subunit ribosomal RNA
Source: RNAcentral
GACGAACGCUGGCGGCGUGCCUAAUACAUGCAAGUCGAGCGAAGUUUUUCUGGUGCUUGCACCGGAAAAACUUAGCGGCGAACGUGUGAGUCACACGUAAACAACCUGACUCAUGGACUGGGACAACUAUAGGAAACGAUACCUCAUACCGGAUAACAGCAUUAAAUUCAUGGUUGAUGGUUUAAAGUUGGUUUUGCUAACACUAUGAGAUAGCUUUGCGGUUCAUUAGCUAGUUGGUAGGGUCAAGGCCUACCCAAGCGACGAUGCCUAGCCGUCAUGAGAGGAUGAUCGGCCACACUGGGACUGGGCCACGGCCCAGACCCCUACGGGAGGCAGCAGUAGGGAAUCUUCCGCAAUGGGCGAAAGCCUGAUGAAGCAACGCCACGUGAGUGAAGAAGGUUUUCGGUUCGUAAAGAUCUGAUAUUAGGGAAGAAAGGUUGGGGAUUAACUUAACACAGUAGAGACGGUACCUAACAAGAAAGCCACGGCUAACUACGUG